UACGUAGGGACCAAGCGUUGUUCGGAUUUACUGGGCGUAAAGGGCGCGUAGGCGGCUUAACAAGUCACUUGUGAAAUCUCCGGGCUUAACUCGGAACGGCCAAGUGAAACUGUCAAGCUAGAGUGCAGAAGGGGCAAUCGGAAUUCUUGGUGUAGCGGUGAAAUGCGUAGAUAUCGAGAGGAACACCUGAGGUGAAGACGGGUUGCUGGGCUGACACUGACGCUGAGGCGCGAAAGCUAGGGGAGCGAACGGG
Molecule: ribosomal RNA, 253 nt
Filed under: uncultured bacterium
Lineage: Bacteria
Description: partial 16S ribosomal RNA
Rfam family: Bacterial small subunit ribosomal RNA
Source: RNAcentral